RNAcentral lists this ribosomal RNA (253 nucleotides) under uncultured bacterium. RNAcentral's name for it is "partial 16S ribosomal RNA". It matches the Rfam family "Bacterial small subunit ribosomal RNA", at positions 524 to 776 of the family's 1533-position model. The record is from RNAcentral.
UACAGAGGGUGCAAGCGUUAAUCGGAAUUACUGGGCGUAAAGCGUGCGUAGACGGUCAUGUAAGUCGGGUGUGAAAGCCCCGGGCUCAACCUGGGAAUUGCAUUCGAGACUGCAUGGCUAGGGUGCGGAAGAGGGAAGCGGAAUUUCCGGUGUAGCGGUGAAAUGCGUAGAUAUCAGGAGGAACACCGGUGGCGAAGGCGGUUCUCUGGGCAUGUCCUGACGCUGAGGAGCGAAAGUGUGGGGAGCGAACAGG